CUGCAGCCCGAGUGGUGAUCGUUAUUAUUGGGCCUAAAGCGUCCGUAGCCGGUUCGGUAAAUCUCUGGGUAAAUCGAUGGGCUUAACCCAUCGAAUUCUGGGGAGACUGCUGGACUUGGGACCGGGAGAGGUCGGAGGUACUCCAGGGGUAGGGGUGAAAUCCUGUAAUCCUUGGGGGACCACCGGUGGCGAAGGCGUCCGACCAGAACGGGUCCGACGGUAAGGGACGAAGCCCUGGGGCGCAAACCGGAUUAGAUACCCGAGUAGUCC
RNAcentral lists this ribosomal RNA (270 nucleotides) under uncultured archaeon. RNAcentral describes it as "partial 16S ribosomal RNA". It matches the Rfam family "Archaeal small subunit ribosomal RNA", at positions 477 to 747 of the family's 1478-position model. The record is from RNAcentral.